UGGGGAAUUUUGGACAAUGGGCGCAAGCCUGAUCCAGCCAUGCCGCGUGCGGGAAGAAGGCCUUCGGGUUGUAAACUGCUUUUGUACGGAACGAAACGGCUCUGUCUAAUACAUGGGGCUAAUGACGGUACCAUUUAUAAGCACCGGCUAACUACGUGCCAGCAGCCGCGGUAAUACGUAGGGUGCGAGCGUUAAUCGGAAUUACUGGGCGUAAAGCGUGCGCAGGCGGUUAUAUAAGACAGUUGUGAAAUCCCCGGGCUCAACCUGGGAAUUGAAUCUGUGACGGUAUAGCUAGAGUACGGUAGAGGGGGAUGGAAUUCCGCGUGUAGCAGUGAAAUGCGUAGAUAUGCGGAGGAACACCGAUGGCGAAGGCAAUCCCCUGGACCUGUACUGACGCUCAUGCACGAAAGCGUGGGGAGCAAACA
RNAcentral lists this ribosomal RNA (425 nucleotides) under uncultured bacterium. Its description in RNAcentral is "bacterial SSU rRNA". It matches the Rfam family "Bacterial small subunit ribosomal RNA", at positions 355 to 774 of the family's 1533-position model. The record is from RNAcentral.